GUGGGGAAUUUUGGACAAUGGGCGCAAGCCUGAUCCAGCCAUUCCGCGUGCAGGAUGAAGGCCUUCGGGUUGUAAACUGCUUUUGUACGGAACGAAAAGCCUCUGGUUAAUACCCGGGGGUCAUGACGGUACCGUAAGAAUAAGCACCGGCUAACUACGUGCCAGCAGCCGCGGUAAUACGUAGGGUGCGAGCGUUAAUCGGAAUUACUGGGCGUAAAGCGUGCGCAGGCGGUGAUGUAAGGCAGUUGUGAACUCCCCGGGCUCAACCUGGGAACUGAAUCGGUGACUGCAUUGCUGGAGUGCGGCAGAGGGGGAUGGAAUUCCGCGUGUAGCAGUGAAAUGCGUAGAUAUGCGGAGGAACACCGAUGGCGAAGGCAAUCCCCUGGGCCUGCACUGACGCUCAUGCACGAAAGCGUGGGGAGCAAACAGGAUUAGAAACCCUGGUAGUCC
RNAcentral lists this ribosomal RNA (450 nucleotides) under uncultured bacterium. Its description in RNAcentral is "partial 16S ribosomal RNA". It matches the Rfam family "Bacterial small subunit ribosomal RNA", at positions 354 to 796 of the family's 1533-position model. The record is from RNAcentral.